This 1006-nucleotide ribosomal RNA is filed under the name Bacillus subtilis. Its description in RNAcentral is "bacterial SSU rRNA". It matches the Rfam family "Bacterial small subunit ribosomal RNA", at positions 67 to 1053 of the family's 1533-position model. The record is from RNAcentral. Lineage: Bacteria; Bacillati; Bacillota; Bacilli; Caryophanales; Bacillaceae.
CGGACAGAUGGGAGCUUAGCUCCCUGAUGUUAGCGGCGGACGGGUGAGUAACACGUGGGUAACCUGCCUGUAAGACUGGGAUAACUCCGGGAAACCGGGGCUAAUACCGGAUGCUUGUUUGAACCGCAUGGUUCAAACAUAAAAGGUGGCUUCGGCUACCACUUACAGAUGGACCCGCGGCGCAUUAGCUAGUUGGUGAGGUAAUGGCUCACCAAGGCGACGAUGCGUAGCCGACCUGAGAGGGUGAUCGGCCACACUGGGACUGAGACACGGCCCAGACUCCUACGGGAGGCAGCAGUAGGGAAUCUUCCGCAAUGGACGAAAGUCUGACGGAGCAACGCCGCGUGAGUGAUGAAGGUUUUCGGAUCGUAAAGCUCUGUUGUUAGGGAAGAACAAGUACCGUUCGAAUAGGGCGGUACCUUGACGGUACCUAACCAGAAAGCCACGGCUAACUACGUGCCAGCAGCCGCGGUAAUACGUAGGUGGCCAGCGUUGUCCGGAAUUAUUGGGCGUAAAGGGCUCGCAGGCGGUUUCUUAAGUCUGAUGUGAAAGCCCCCGGCUCAACCGGGGAGGGUCAUUGGAAACUGGGGAACUUGAGUGCAGAAGAGGAGAGUGGAAUUCCACGUGUAGCGGUGAAAUGCGUAGAGAUGUGGAGGAACACCAGUGGCGAAGGCGACUCUCUGGUCUGUAACUGACGCUGAGGAGCGAAAGCGUGGGGAGCGAACAGGAUUAGAUACCCUGGUAGUCCACGCCGUAAACGAUGAGUGCUAAGUGUUAGGGGGUUUCCGCCCCUUAGUGCUGCAGCUAACGCAUUAAGCACUCCGCCUGGGGAGUACGGUCGCAAGACUGAAACUCAAAGGAAUUGACGGGGGCCCGCACAAGCGGUGGAGCAUGUGGUUUAAUUCGAAGCAACGCGAAGAACCUUACCAGGUCUUGACAUCCUCUGACAAUCCUAGAGAUAGGACGUCCCCUUCGGGGGCAGAGUGACAGGUGGUGCAUCGUUGUC